AGGUUUCAACAUCACCUGUAUUAUUCCAGCAUGAUCCCCCUUGGAAUGCUCCGGUCCAGAAUUCAACCAUGUCCCAGGCCAAUGGGUUCCAUCUGCCAUCCACGUAGCUUUUGGGAUCUUUACAUUCUCUAAAGGUUCAUCAUCAGUCUUUUGCCUCUGUUGCUUCAUGGCCUUAAUUUCUUCCCUUGCAUGAUAAGCAUCAGACCUACGGCGAAUGGAAUCCGGCAAGCUAUUGAUACGAACCUUAAACUCAUCAUACUCACGCUUUGCCCGCCUACGAUCCUUAACAAAGUCUUGCUUUACCUUGUUUUUGUAAGGAUCCUUCUUUAAAUUGAAGUAACUUUCUGGAUUUCUAGGUUCAAUGUUAUGUUUACGACAAAAUGGUACCCAUAAAUUAGCAAAACUUGCAGCUUCUGCCAUUGCCUCAAAGGUCAAAAGGGCACCUCCAUCAUCAGAGACAUAACAAGCAAGUUUUUCUACAGGAUAAUCUGCAGCUAGAAUGGACAAUAUAGUAUUAGCAGUCACAAGAGGGGGUUCCUUCUCUGGAUCAGCGGUAGAGACAAACAUAUCAACACCAGGGAGAUCAGAUCUCCCAGUAGGAUUGCCUGGGCUUGGUGUUUCAAAUUUGUCUUUCAAGACACUAAGAUCAGUUGCACGGUUGAUCGGGCAAAGCUUGGGCAAUUGAUCAAGAAUCCAAGAGAAAGCAAACCAUAUUUCACAAACAACAGACAUCCCCCACAACCAAACUGCAUCGUUGUUGGGAUGAUUCACUCUCCAUGCCAAAAAAAGUCCAAGUACAACAAACCGUAUGACGAUCAAAAGUCUAUAAGGACUUAGGAUAGCAGCAGGAAUUUUCAAUUUGCGCGUAAGUGGCCUCCAUGGUUUGCUCAUCAGUUCAGUAGGCUCCAUAAUAUCAUCAUCUUUUCCAUUUACAAAUCCACCUUCUUUUGGCCAUAUAGCAUUUCCAUACCCAUAUGUGCCCUUUGUUUCAAACAACCAACGGUUGUGAUCAAACUCUGAAGUAUGGCUCCUAAUCAAUCCCGACUUAGUUGAUUUCAUAAUUGACAACCUUCUCUCCAUCCUUGACAUCCCACCUGGCCCAGUGAGAGGAAGCGGACGAUUGUUUCCAUUAGUUUCCUCCCAGUCAGUGACUUUAUAUUGCUCCUUACACCCCGGACAUAUACCAUCACCGGUUUUGACAGCAUCCAGGUAACAGUCUCUGCAUAUCUUGAAAUCACAUUCACAUGGAACAAUAUCAAUGCCCCUUUCAUCACUCAUCACUUUAGCAUCACAUCCAGGGAUAGCACACGACGACCCUUUUGCACCCGCCAUUU
RNAcentral lists this unclassified non-coding RNA (1334 nucleotides) under Hevea brasiliensis (rubber tree). Lineage: Eukaryota; Viridiplantae; Streptophyta; Magnoliopsida; Malpighiales; Euphorbiaceae. The record is from RNAcentral.